AGCAGCCGCGGUAAUUCCAGCUCCAAUAGCGUAUAUUAAAGUUGUUGCAGUUAAAAAGCUCGUAGUUGAAUUUCGGGAUCAAUAUGCUGGUCGUGCCAUUGGUACGUACUAGUAUUAUUGGUUUCUCCUUUCUGAUGAAUCAUGAUGUCAUUAAUUUGAUGUCAUGAGGAAUCAGGACUGUUACUUUGAAAAAAUUAGAGUGUUUAAAGCAGGCUCGCGCUUGAAUACAUUAGCAUGGAAUAAUGAAAUAGGACGUUUGAUUCUAUUUUGUUGGUUUCUAGGAUCGACGUAAUGAUUAAUAGGGAUAGUUGGGGGCAUUAGUAUUCAAUUGUCAGAGGUGAAAUUCUUGGAUUUAUUGAAGACUAACUACUGCGAAAGCAUUUUGCCAAGGAUGUUUUCAUUAAUCAAGAACGAAAGUUAGGGGAUCGAAGACGAUCAGAUACCGUCGUAGUCUUAACCAUAAACUAUGCCGACUAGGGAUCGGAUGAUGUUAAUUUUUUAAUGACUCAUUCGGCGCCUU
This 520-nucleotide unclassified non-coding RNA is filed under the name uncultured Glomus. Its description in RNAcentral is "SSU rRNA". It matches the Rfam family "Eukaryotic small subunit ribosomal RNA", at positions 569 to 1089 of the family's 1831-position model. Lineage: Eukaryota; Fungi; Glomeromycota; Glomeromycetes; Glomerales; Glomeraceae. The record is from RNAcentral.